This is a long non-coding RNA of Cyanistes caeruleus (blue tit), 1770 nucleotides long. The record is from Ensembl. NCBI's taxonomy places the organism in Eukaryota, Metazoa, Chordata, Aves, Passeriformes, Paridae.
AAUGGCAGCCGGGAGCGGCCCCCCCGUGCUGACAGCCCGGCUGUGCCACCCUGCCGACCCCCGACACCCCCGUGCUUCCCUCCCGACGGGCCCAACAACAAGGCCGGCUUUCCCCCGCACGGCCCCAGCGUCCCUCCAAAGCCCCGGGGCCACCCGGAAAGCCCCAGUACCCUCAACAGCCCCCGGCUCUCCUCCGCAGUGUGCCCACCCGGCCGUCCCAGUGUUCCCCCGCAGCCCUAAGGUGCCCAGACCGCCCUUCCCACUGCCCAAGUGACCCCCCAGAAACCCGGAGUGGCCCAGCCUGGCAGCCACCCCUGGAGCCCCGGGGCUGCAGGGACCCCACGGAGCCCCCAGGUACGCGUCAGGGCUGAGCAUGGCUCAGCCAUUGGGAGCCCAGGCAGCCGGGGACACUGGGCCUCUGCUGUGUCUCUGCUGGGACCCUGUGUCUCCCCCAGGACCCGGUGUCUGUGCUGGGGACCUGUGUCUGUGCUGGGACCCUGUGCCUCUGCUGUGUCUCCCCCAGGACCCUGUGUGUCCCCCAGGACCCUGUGUCUCCCCCAGGACCCUGUGUCUCUGCUGGAACCCUCUGUCUCCCCCAGGACCCUGUGUCUCCCCCAGGACCCUGUGUCCCUGGUGUUACCCUGUGUCCCUGGUGUUACCCUGUGUCCCUGGUGGAACCCUGUGUCCCUGGUGUUACCCUGUGUCCCUGGUGGUGCCCUGUGUCCCUGGUGUUACCCUGUGUCCCUGGUAGAACCCUGUGUCCCUGGUGGAACCCUGUGUCCCUGGUGGAACCCUGUGUCCCUGGUGGUGCCCUGUGUCCCUGGUGGAACCCUGUGUCCCUGGUGGUGCCCUGUGUCCCUGGUGGAACCCUGUGUCCCUGGUGUUACCCUGUGUCUCUCCCAGGACCCUGUGUCCCUGGUAGAACCCUGUGUCCCUGGUGGAACCCUGUGUCCCUGGUGUUACCCUGUGUCCCUGGUGUUACCCUGUGUCCCUGGUGGUGCCCUGUGUCCCUGGUGGAACCCUGUGUCCCUGGUGGAACCCUGUGUCCCUGGUGGUGCCCUGUGUCCCUGGUGGAACCCUGUGUCCCUGGUGUUACCCUGUGUCCCUGGUGUUACCCUGUGUCUCUCCCAGGACCCUGUGUCCCUGGUGUUACCCUGUGUCCCUGGUGGAACCCUGUGUCCCUGGUGUUACCCUGUGUCUCUCCCAGGACCCUGUGUCCCUGGUGUUACCCUGUGUCCCUGGUGGUGCCCUGUGUCCCUGGUGUUACCCUGUGUCCCUGGUGGUGCCCUGUGUCCCUGGUGUUACCCUGUGUCCCUGGUGGAACCCUGUGUCCCUGGUGGAACCCUGUGUCCCUGGGUGGGCACACAGGGUGCACAGCUCUCAUUUCCCUGUGACACCGCAGAUCACGGGUGGCACGUGGGGAGCUGUGGGAGCCUGUGCUGGGCACUGCAGACUCUGCUGGCUCAGAAGACCCCUCGCUCUUUAGAAGCCUGGUGUUUGGAGCACAGGAGAGUUUGCAGCUGCUGGAGAACUGGGAAAGGUCGUUCAGUUCCAAGCCCCUGCCAUGGACACCUUCCUUGGGCCAGGUUGUUCCAAGCUCCAUCCAACACGGACAGCAAGAGGAGCAGCACUACUGCGGUGUCACCGCUUUUGGGGACAGCUCAGCUGGAGCAGGGACAUCGAUGGCACUGCUCCCUUGUCUGGACUCAUUUUCCCCCUGAUUCUGCCCGUGCAAAAGAGAUCUGGGAGGACCUUGGGAAGGCGUUUUGA